RNAcentral lists this ribosomal RNA (450 nucleotides) under uncultured bacterium. Its description in RNAcentral is "partial 16S ribosomal RNA". It matches the Rfam family "Bacterial small subunit ribosomal RNA", at positions 354 to 796 of the family's 1533-position model. The record is from RNAcentral.
GUGAGGAAUUUUGCGCAAUGGCCGCAAGGCUGACGCAGCAACGCCGCGUGGGUGAAGAAGGCCUUCGGGUCGUAAAGCCCUGUCAGGUGGGAAGAAAGGUUUCGUCAAGAAACGGAUGGAAUUUGACGGUACCACCAGAGGAAGCACCGGCUAACUCCGUGCCAGCAGCCGCGGUAAUACGGAGGGUGCGAGCGUUAUUCGGAAUUAUUGGGCGUAAAGCGCGAGUAGGCGGGGAUGCAAGUCUGAUGUGAAAGCCCUGGGCUUAACCUGGGAAGUGCAUUGGAAACUGCAUUUCUUGAGUACUGGAGAGGAAGGGGGAAUUCCCGGUGUAGAGGUGAAAUUCGUAGAGAUCGGGAGGAAUACCAGUGGCGUAGGCGCCUUUCUGGACGGUUACUGACGCUGAGACGCGAAAGCGUGGGGAGCAAACAGGAUUAGAAACCCGUGUAGUCC